GACGAACGCUGGCGGCGUGCUUAACACAUGCAAGUCGAACGAUGAAAGUCGUUUUGAUAUCUUCGGAUUGAUAAACUUCUGGAUUAGUGGCGGACGGGUGAGUAACGCGUGAGCAAUCUGCCUUACACAAAGGGAUAGCCUCGGGAAACCGGGAUUAAUACCAUAUGAUAUCUCAACUUCGCAUGAAGAUGAGAUUAAAGAAUUUCGGUGUAAGAUGAGCUCGCGUCCCAUUAAUUAGUUGGUGAGGGUAACGGCCCACCAAGAUAGCGAUGGGUAGCCGAUCUAAGAGGAUGACCGGCCACAUUGGAACUGAGAAACGGUCCAAACUCCUACGGGAGGCAGCAGUGGGGAAUAUUGCACAAUGGGGGAAACCCUGAUGCAGCGACGCCGCGUGAGCGAUGAAGGCUUUCGAGUCGUAAAGCUCUGUCCUAUGGGAAGAUAAUGACGGUACCAUAGAAGAAAGCCCCGGCUAAUUACGUGCCAGCAGCCGCGGUAA
This 496-nucleotide ribosomal RNA is filed under the name uncultured Eubacteriales bacterium. RNAcentral describes it as "bacterial SSU rRNA". It matches the Rfam family "Bacterial small subunit ribosomal RNA", at positions 28 to 523 of the family's 1533-position model. Lineage: Bacteria; Bacillati; Bacillota; Clostridia; Eubacteriales. The record is from RNAcentral.